CCUACGGGAGGCAGCAGUGAGGAAUAUUGGUCAAUGGUCGGGAGACUGAACCAGCCAAGCCGCGUGAGGGAUGAAGGUACAGAGUAUCGUAAACCUCUUUUGUCAGGGCACAAAGGCGGGGACGUGUCCCCGGAUGAGUGUACCUGAAGAAAAAGCAUCGGCUAACUCCGUGCCAGCAGCCGCGGUAAUACGGAGGAUGCGAGCGUUAUCCGGAUUUAUUGGGUUUAAGGGGUGCGCAGGCGGUCUGUUAAGUCAGCGGUAAAAGCCCGGGGCCCAACCCCGGCCCGCCGUUGAAACUGGCAGUCUCGAGUUGGAGAGAAGUAUGCGGAAUGCGCGGUGUAGCGGUGAAAUGCAUAGAUAUCGCGCAGAACUCCGAUUGCGAAGGCAGCAUGCCGGCUCCACACUGACGCUGAGGCACGAAAGCGUGGGUAUCGAACAGGAUUAGAUACCCGAGUAGUC
This 459-nucleotide ribosomal RNA is filed under the name uncultured bacterium. RNAcentral's name for it is "partial 16S ribosomal RNA". It matches the Rfam family "Bacterial small subunit ribosomal RNA", at positions 338 to 795 of the family's 1533-position model. The record is from RNAcentral.